This 253-nucleotide ribosomal RNA is filed under the name uncultured bacterium. RNAcentral's name for it is "partial 16S ribosomal RNA". It matches the Rfam family "Bacterial small subunit ribosomal RNA", at positions 524 to 776 of the family's 1533-position model. The record is from RNAcentral.
UACGUAGGUGGCAAGCGUUGUCCGGAUUUACUGGGCGUAAAGGGCGUGCAGGCGGUCUGUUAAGUGCAGGGUGAAAGCUCCCGGCUCAACUGGGAGAGGUCCUUGCAUACUGGCGGACUUGAGGGGGGUAGAGGAAAGUGGAAUUCCCGGUGUAGUGGUGAUAUGCGUAGAUAUCGGGAGGAACACCCGUGGCGAAGGCGGUUCUCUGGGACGGUACUGACGCUGAGACGCGAAAGCGUGGGGAGCGAACAGG